This 993-nucleotide long non-coding RNA is filed under the name Gossypium barbadense (sea-island cotton). RNAcentral's name for it is "long non-coding RNA (GBAR_LNC006990)". Lineage: Eukaryota; Viridiplantae; Streptophyta; Magnoliopsida; Malvales; Malvaceae. The record is from RNAcentral.
AACUAUAUUAAAAGAUUUUUUAUUUUUAUAUUAAAAUAUAUUAAAAUAUUUAAAAUAUCUUUGUACGGGCCUAAAUUUGCCCGGCCCUUCAGAGAAACCAGCAACAAAACCCAAUUACAAGAACAGCCCAAUUCCUACCCAUUUUACAAACAAACCCUAACCCAAACCCGGAUAGCCCAAUAGGCCCAACCUAAACCCAAAUCUCAGCCAAAGUCUAACCCUAGCUCACCCUUGCGUCGUACCCCCCUCCCAUGUGUGCCCUCGGCACGCACGACGCCCGAUGGUUGCUUCCUUGCACCAAAAUGGCAGGUUUUCUCGCCCGUUGACGCUCCAUGAACCUGCAAACAUGACAAAGAGAGGAGAACAGCAAAAAGCAGUGCGCAAACAAUAGAUUUUGUAUUCGGCUAUAUAGCCACAAACGCAAAAAAGAUUGUAACGCAUAUUUUUAUCAAUCAAAAAGUGAACAUGACUUUGAACACAAAAAACAGAGGAUUAAGAAAUCAAAGAGCAAAAAAGGUUGAUCUAUUUUCUUUUCCUUUCGGUUUUGUUUGUUUUAUUUUUCAUAAAACAAAUCUAUUUUAAAUAACGAGCAAUAAAAGAAUAAAAGGGACUCACUCAGAGCCUCCUGCGGUCGUGACGUCGGUGGAUCUCUUCCCAUCGUCGAAGUCGGGCUUAAAAGGAAGCCGAGAGCCUCCUCCAUUCGGUGUCUCCGUGUCUCGGUGGUGUGGCCUUCAAGGAGCAUCCAAGAUAGGGCUGAAAAAUGCCCUUUUGAGCGACGACGGCCACCGAUCGCGGUGGUGGUGCGAUGACGGCAAGGAUGGGUUUCUGGGGAAACCCUAGUAGAGCACAAACAAACAAGGGGGAGGUGUUCUGAAAAAUUUUGAAAGAAAAUGAAGCAAAAAUAAAAAAAACUGGUUUAAAUGAUCAUGCGAAACGGUGCCGUUUCGCACCUGGAGUAUCAACGCCCAAACGGCGUCGUUUAGACCACGCCCG